This is a long non-coding RNA of Phyllostomus hastatus (greater spear-nosed bat), 475 nucleotides long. RefSeq lists it as uncharacterized. The record is from RefSeq and is a predicted model, not a curated record. Lineage: Eukaryota; Metazoa; Chordata; Mammalia; Chiroptera; Phyllostomidae. The transcript is spliced from 3 exons.
GCGAUCGGGCAACCGCGGAGGCGCUUGCGUGGCUGGCAACGCAAAGGCUUCCUUUCCUUCAUCCGGCUUCCAGAGUUGUGCGGCCUACUGGCGCCGGUCUGACUGGGAUUUCCCAUUGGUUUAUUGAGGUGCCACCCGGUGCUGGGGACCGCGAGUAUAGCUGCAGGCUGGCGGGCCCGAGAGGAAAGGCCGACCUCUGCUCUGUGGUUGAAUGCUUAGUUCUGAGACUGCUGAUUGCGGAGACCUGAAAAGCUUGUUGAGCAGGAAAAGCAAAGACUAAGACCAGUCCUGUGACUGUAACCAAACUUACCAGAGUGGUUUCUCGUGCCUUAUGGAAGCUUGUGCAAAGCCUCCCUGACAGGAAGUGACCAAGCUCCUCACCCUCAGGCCUGUUCCCUCAUCACCCAGUUCAGGGGGUUUGUGCCUCAAAGCCUCUAACGAACUUGAAUGUGUUUGGGAAAAGUACAAGAUACAA